UGCGGAAGGAUCAUUACCCA
Molecule: ribosomal RNA, 20 nt
Filed under: Pleosporales sp. MUT 2179
Lineage: Eukaryota; Fungi; Ascomycota; Dothideomycetes; Pleosporales
Description: partial 18S ribosomal RNA
Source: RNAcentral